GGGUGAGUAACACGUGGAUAACCUACCUAUAAGACUGGGAUAACUUCGGGAAACCGGAGCUAAUACCGGAUAAUAUAUUGAACCGCAUGGUUCAAUAGUGAAAGACGGUUUUGCUGUCACUUAUAGAUGGAUCCGCGCCGCAUUAGCUAGUUGGUAAGGUAACGGCUUAACAAGGCAACGAUGCGUAGCCGACCUGAGAGGGUGAUCGGCCACACUGGAACUGAGACACGGUCCAG
Molecule: ribosomal RNA, 236 nt
Filed under: uncultured Staphylococcus sp.
Lineage: Bacteria; Bacillati; Bacillota; Bacilli; Caryophanales; Staphylococcaceae
Description: partial 16S ribosomal RNA
Rfam family: Bacterial small subunit ribosomal RNA
Source: RNAcentral